Molecule: ribosomal RNA, 456 nt
Filed under: uncultured bacterium
Lineage: Bacteria
Description: bacterial SSU rRNA
Rfam family: Bacterial small subunit ribosomal RNA
Source: RNAcentral
GAUGAACGCUGGCGGCGUGCUUAACACAUGCAAGUCGAACGGACCAUAUUCGUAUGGUUAGUGGCAGACGGGUGCGUAACACGUGGGUGACCUGCCCUUAAGUGGGGAAUAACUCCGCUAACGCGGAGCUAAUACCGCAUAUGUUCGCUGAUUCAGUUUGGCGAGUAAAGCAGCAAUGCGCUUAGGGAGGGGCCUGCGGCGGAUUAGGUAGUUGGUGGGGUAACGGCCUACCAAGCCGAUGAUCCGUAGGGGGCGUGAGAGCGUGGCCCCCCACACUGGCACUGAGACACGGGCCAGACUCCUACGGGAGGCAGCAGUGAGGAAUAUUGCACAAUGGGCGAAAGCCUGAUGCAGCGACGCCGCGUGAGGGAUGACGGCCUUGGGUUGUAAACCUCUUUCAGCAGGGAAGAAGCGAAAGUGACGGUACCUGCAGAAGAAGCACCGGCUAACUACGUG